UGCAAAAGUAAUUGCAGUUUUUGUCUUUGAAAGUAAUGGCAAAAACUGCAAUUACUUU
RNAcentral lists this microRNA precursor (58 nucleotides) under Cebus imitator (Panamanian white-faced capuchin). RNAcentral describes it as "miRNA (ENSCCAG00000003436.1)". The record is from RNAcentral. Lineage: Eukaryota; Metazoa; Chordata; Mammalia; Primates; Cebidae.